This 806-nucleotide long non-coding RNA is filed under the name Homo sapiens (human). RNAcentral's name for it is "HSALNT0354430". The record is from RNAcentral. Lineage: Eukaryota; Metazoa; Chordata; Mammalia; Primates; Hominidae.
UAGGAGAGCUGUUACCUAGACGCAGGAGAGAAAUGAACAUAUGUAAAGCAAGACAGAUGGUCCCAAGGAGAACUUAAUUGAGAUGAUUGGAGAAGCAGAUGAUAAUCCCGCUUCCUUUUUCACUGAGAAAACAGAAGCAAUCAGAAUAGGCAUUGACAUACACCAGCUACCACAUCUACUGAUAUAUUGAAUCAACAAGAGGAGGAAAGAAUGAGAACCCUUGGUCAUGAACAGGAGAAUGUUUUUGACGAUUUGGAAACUGGGGAGUAUGAGACUUCCUCUUGGGAGAGUUGAAAUAGGGGUAACAUAAAGUGCCAUAUGAAGAACAUUCAGCCUAAGUGAGAAGAAACAAAUCCCGAUUUAUGUCAAUCAUUGGCAUAUAAUAUUAAGGCCAGUCUAGCAGCUACUUUUUACCCUUACAACAUGUCAUUGUGCCUUGAGCUUUUUCCAUCUCUUUAAGGCAGACUCCUUUCAUGUGCUAGCUGUACUUAAAAAGCAGCAGUGAACAGAAAGCAAAAUUAACCCAGUAUAUUACAAACCAAGAAAUGAUGACAAGAAGGUAACAGCUAUACUGCUGGAAGACUGGAAAGGCAUCUUCAGAUGUAGGUCCCAAGUGCCCUGUCAUUUACUUCCUGUCCAAGCACUGAGCAGAUGGAAUUACACAAGUUCGGCUGUAUGAAACCACCCUCUAAUGCCUUCGUUAAACUCCAGGAUUUUAGAGUCUGUCCAGUUUCUGGCAGGGACCUUUCCAAACUUCCACCCCCAAAGCUGUAAAUUACUACCUCAUUAAACUCAAUUGUAAAUGA